GACGAACGCUGGCGGCGUGCUUAACACAUGCAAGUCGAACGGAAAGGCCCCUUUUGGGGUACUCGAGUGGCGAACGGGUGAGUAACACGUGAGUAACCUGCCCUUGACUUCGGGAUAACUUCAGGAAACUGGGGCUAAUACCGGAUAGGAAUCCUUGCUGCAUGGUGGGGGUUGGAAAGCUUCGGCGGUUUUGGAUGGACUCACGGCUUAUCAGCUUGUUGGUGGGGUAGUGGCUUACCAAGGCUUUGACGGGUAGCCGGCCUGAGAGGGCGACCGGCCACAUUGGGACUGAGAUACGGCCCAGACUCCUACGGGAGGCAGCAGUGGGGAAUAUUGCACAAUGGGCGGAAGCCUGAUGCAGCAACGCCGCGUGCGGGAUGACGGCCUUCGGGUUGUAAACCGCUUUCAGCAGGGGCGAAGCUUGUGGUGACGGUACCUGCAGAAGAAGCACCGGCUAACUACGUG
RNAcentral lists this ribosomal RNA (465 nucleotides) under uncultured bacterium. RNAcentral describes it as "partial 16S ribosomal RNA". It matches the Rfam family "Bacterial small subunit ribosomal RNA", at positions 28 to 507 of the family's 1533-position model. The record is from RNAcentral.